GAUUCCGUAGCUCAGUUGGUAGAGCAUCUGACUUUUAAUCAGAGGGUCUUGGGUUCGAGUCCCAACGGAAUCA
Molecule: transfer RNA, 73 nt
Filed under: Chlorobiota bacterium
Lineage: Bacteria; Pseudomonadati; Chlorobiota
Also listed under: 1 other name
Description: tRNA-Lys
Rfam family: tRNA
About the family: Transfer RNA (tRNA) molecules are approximately 80 nucleotides in length. Their secondary structure includes four short double-helical elements and three loops (D, anti-codon, and T loops).
Source: RNAcentral